CUGAGAUAACGGAACAGAAUACUUGCGGUCUGCCUCUCCUGCUCCCGAGACCGUCGCCCUACACCUGGGCGCUAGACGCGAAAAUCCGCGGAGUUUCCCUCCCUUAAGCCAGUUCGAGAAGGCCAGUCUCCUUACUCUCUAAAGAAAAACAUACCCCCUCGUCCCUCUCCUUCUCCUCUCUUUAUAUCUUUAUUCUACCCUGAGGUGAGCGCUCCCGUCGCCUCCUGCGCCUCCUGUGCUCCCUGUGCGUCCGCUGCGGCCUCUGUGCCUGUUGUCCUUGCCAACCGCCCGGCGGCUCUUCCCUCUGCGAGCUGGCAGGCGUUCUGUUUUGCCGCCGCCGGGUCGUUCAUUCCUUGAGAUGGGCCUGCACUGCUAAGGCCCAUUGAGGAUCUGUGGUGGCGGCUGAGGGUCCGCGAGGACCGCUUGCCACGCGGAUGGAAGGAAGAAGCGAGGGCUUCAACACGCUCCCGGUCUGGAGCAGGUACCGCCGCCUGCACCGCCAUUACCUUCCGCCCAGCUGCCGUUGUCUUCCCAUCGACCUCACCGGCGUCGCCACCUCCGCCUGUUGCUAUCGCCCUUUUCGCCGCCGUCCCCUGCCACCACCAGCCUUCGCCUUCCGCCGCUUGCCGCCCGCCGCUGCCUGCCGCCAGCCACCACCUCGGCGCCAC
RNAcentral lists this long non-coding RNA (668 nucleotides) under Spirodela polyrhiza (greater duckweed). RNAcentral's name for it is "long non-coding RNA (SPOL_LNC000970)". Lineage: Eukaryota; Viridiplantae; Streptophyta; Magnoliopsida; Alismatales; Araceae. The record is from RNAcentral.